This 452-nucleotide ribosomal RNA is filed under the name uncultured Leptolinea sp. RNAcentral's name for it is "bacterial SSU rRNA". It matches the Rfam family "Bacterial small subunit ribosomal RNA", at positions 917 to 1382 of the family's 1533-position model. Lineage: Bacteria; Bacillati; Chloroflexota; Anaerolineae; Anaerolineales; Anaerolineaceae. The record is from RNAcentral.
GGGCCCGCACAAGCAGCGGAGCGUGUGGUUUAAUUCGAUGCUACACGAAGAACCUUACCAGGGUUUGACAUGCAAGUGGUAGGAAACCGAAAGGCGACCGACCCUUCGGGGAGCUUGCACAGGUGCUGCAUGGCUGUCGUCAGCUCGUGUCGUGAGAUGUUCGGUUAAGUCCGCUAACGAGCGCAACCCUCGCUGUGUGUUACAAGUGUCACACGGUACUGCCGGUCUUAAGCCGGAGGAAGGUGGGGAUGACGUCAAGUCAGCAUGGCCUUUAUGUCCUGGGCUACACACACGCUACAAUGGCCAACACAAUAGGUUGCUAAGCCGCGAGGUGGAGCCAAUCCUCAAAGUUGGUCUCAGUUCAGAUUGCAGGCUGCAACCCGCCUGCAUGAAGAUGGAGUUGCUAGUAACCGCAGGUCAGCUAUACUGCGGUGAAUACGUUCCCGGGGCUU